ACUACUGCUAACACUUGGAUAAGUGGUAAUUUAAGGUCUAAGAGUCCUCAGGAGAAGAACUUCAUUUGCUUAGAUAUGACUGCAUAACACCAACCAACCUUAUAUGGAUGGGAAUAUUUGUGAUGUUAUUGACGCAAAUACCUGAAAGUAUGGGCAAGUUUUGAUUAGGCAGACCUGAGCCACAGGAGACUGGCUAGAGGGAAGCCCAGCCCACAACGCCAGGGAUAGUAUAUGCUUAACCCAAAAUGUUUUUUCACCCAACCGUAUCUUCCUGGUUAGUGUAGUGAGGUGUGAAACCUAUGACCCCUCCCUCCCUAAAUGAGGUGUGAUGGAGAGAACAUCUAUGAAGACAUGGACAAUGACACUUAUGAACCCUGCACUAUGGCGGCAGAGAGCAGAGCAAUGAGUACGGCCCAGGACUCUACCUGUCAACUGUUUCCACAGCUAACUC
Phascolarctos cinereus (koala) is the source of this 451-nucleotide non-coding RNA. The record is from RefSeq and is a predicted model, not a curated record. Lineage: Eukaryota; Metazoa; Chordata; Mammalia; Diprotodontia; Phascolarctidae.